GAGUAAUGUCUGGGAAACUGCCUGAUGGAGGGGGAUAACUACUGGAAACGGUGGCUAAUACCGCAUAACGUCGCAAGACCAAAGAGGGGGACCUUCGGGCCUCUUGCCAUCAGAUGUGCCCAGAUGGGAUUAGCUUGUUGGUGAGGUAACGGCUCACCAAGGCGACGAUCCCUAGCUGGUCUGAGAGGAUGACCAGCCACACUGGAACUGAGACACGGUCCAGACUCCUACGGGAGGCAGCAGUGGGGAAUAUUGCACAAUGGGCGCAAGCCUGAUGCAGCCAUGCCGCGUGUAUGAAGAAGGCCUUCGGGUUGUAAAGUACUUUCAGCGGGGAGGAAGGUGUUGUGGUUAAUAACCGCAGCAAUUGACGUUACCCG
This 377-nucleotide ribosomal RNA is filed under the name Salmonella enterica. RNAcentral's name for it is "bacterial SSU rRNA". It matches the Rfam family "Bacterial small subunit ribosomal RNA", at positions 108 to 481 of the family's 1533-position model. RNAcentral also lists the same sequence under 2 other names. Lineage: Bacteria; Pseudomonadati; Pseudomonadota; Gammaproteobacteria; Enterobacterales; Enterobacteriaceae. The record is from RNAcentral.